Delphinapterus leucas (beluga whale) is the source of this 964-nucleotide non-coding RNA. Lineage: Eukaryota; Metazoa; Chordata; Mammalia; Artiodactyla; Monodontidae. The record is from RefSeq and is a predicted model, not a curated record.
CGCGCGCUGCCUCUCCGGACCGGUCUCCGCGGGCCCCGGCUUUGGCCUCACCGCUUCCGCAAGAAGCCACAGUUCCGAGGCGUUUCCCUGAAGAACUUCCCCGGGAAAAGGCAACGGCCUAGGCCGCGGGGGCCAGCGGGGGAUGCAGUUCUGAGAGCGCUAAGCCGGCCGCCGCAGUCAAACCUCCCGCCGCCGCGGACUACAACUCCCAGAGGGCUCUGCGACAGCCAACACGCCUCCCGCCGCAGAGCCCAGCCCUCCGGCUUCGGAAGAAAGGGCGGCGCAGUCUUUUCACAGUGCACCCUUGGGGGACAAAGACCUUAAGCAUCACAACUUGCAACCUGGAGAUUUCAUCUAUCGGAAAAGAUACAUCCAGAAGAACUCUCUUCAACCUUGCUGGAAAGUACUCUAUCAAGUACUCCAAACAACCCUUGUGCUUCCAGACUCCAAGGAAUAGACUCUUGGAUUCAUGAGACACACCUAAAGAAAGCAUCGAACCUUAACUGAAACUGCACAUCAUCUGGUGAGCUGAAAGUAAAGAUUUUCCAGAAUUGAAGCAGAUGACAUCUGAUAAGACAGCUUUCCCAGGAUAUCUGGACCAGGUCUGUUGGAAGUUUGUCACCAAGCCUUUGAUGAUGGCAUAAUGCCUCAGGAGAUCUCUGAUGUCUAUGAUUUUGAUAACAGGACUUUAGAUAAAAAGUGCCUGAGAGUCCUCCUUCCUCCUCCUUGUUACUCAAAUGUGACCUUAAUAGGCUUCCAAUCUGUGCACUUUCCCUCUGAUGUGAGACACUAUACCCAGGAAUGGUCCUUCUUGACAUUGAGGGACAAAAAGCCAUUGAAACUAAAAACCCUGACUCUUGAUAGCAGUGCUUUCAGAGAAAAAUCCUGAUCAAAAGGGGAAAAUGUAAAAAAUUAAUAAACAGAAACCUCAAUUAAAUAGAGUUGGGAGACCAGAAGGGGGAGC